AACGAACGCUGGCGGCAGGCCUAACACAUGCAAGUCGAGCGCACCUUCGGGUGAGCGGCGGACGGGUUAGUAACGCGUGGGAACGUACCCUUUUCUACGGAAUAGCCUUUGGAAACGAAGAGUAAUACCGUAUACGCCCUUUGGGGGAAAGAUUUAUCGGAGAAGGAUCGGCCCGCGUUAGAUUAGAUAGUUGGUGGGGUAACGGCCUACCAAGUCUACGAUCUAUAGCUGGUUUUAGAGGAUGAUCAGCAACACUGGGACUGAGACACGGCCCAGACUCCUACGGGAGGCAGCAGUGGGGAAUCUUAGACAAUGGGCGCAAGCCUGAUCUAGCCAUGCCGCGUGAGUGAUGAAGGCCUUAGGGUCGUAAAGCUCUUUCGCCUGCGAUGAUAAUGACAGUAGCAGGUAAAGAAACCCCGGCUAACUCCGUGCCAGCAGCCGCGGUAAUACGGAGGGGGUUAGCGUUGUUCGGAAUUACUGGGCGUAAAGCGCACGUAGGCGGAUUGGAAAGUUGGGGGUGAAAUCCCGGGGCUCAACCCCGGAACUGCCUCCAAAACUAUCAGUCUAGAGUUCGAGAGAGGUGAGUGGAAUUCCAAGUGUAGAGGUGAAAUUCGUAGAUAUUUGGAGGAACACCAGUGGCGAAGGCGGCUCACUGGCUCGACACUGACGCUGAG
RNAcentral lists this ribosomal RNA (674 nucleotides) under bacterium IMCC8437. RNAcentral describes it as "bacterial SSU rRNA". It matches the Rfam family "Bacterial small subunit ribosomal RNA", at positions 28 to 750 of the family's 1533-position model. The record is from RNAcentral.